UGGGAAAUAGCUCAGUUGGUUAGAGUGCUGGUCUGUCACGCCAGAAGUCGCGGGUUCGAACCCCGUUUUCCCCG
RNAcentral lists this transfer RNA (74 nucleotides) under Triticum aestivum (bread wheat). RNAcentral's name for it is "tRNA tRNA-Asp". It matches the Rfam family "tRNA". From Rfam's summary of the family: Transfer RNA (tRNA) molecules are approximately 80 nucleotides in length. Their secondary structure includes four short double-helical elements and three loops (D, anti-codon, and T loops). RNAcentral also lists the same sequence under 1 other name. Lineage: Eukaryota; Viridiplantae; Streptophyta; Magnoliopsida; Poales; Poaceae. The record is from Rfam by way of RNAcentral.